UUAAAAAAAAACUGGAAAUUUUAAGAGCAAAGGGAAGGGGAAGGGCAUUUUUAGAUAUAGGAAGAACAAUUAGUUCAAUGAAAUGGUAAAGAAAUCGGAAAUGGAAUGUCAUGUUCUAAUAAAAAAAAGCCCAGAGAGGAUCAGAGAGUAAUAAUGGAUAAUGAGGGUGAAAAGAGAAGGAAGCACUAGACUUUAAAUGCCAAACAGAGACAUUUCUCUUUAUUUGCUCCCAGAUUCUUUCCACAUGGGAAAGGCUGUUAUUGGUAGUACCUAGACAGGGGAAUAUCUGAGGGGACAAUGUGCAGACAGCUGGAUACAAGCUGAUAGAUGAAAACAGCCUUAAUUAGUUGAAAACAUCAAGGACUUGCUUUUUUUUAUUUUAAAAAGGAUAGAUGUUGUUUUGACACAUCAGUCACUUCCUAAUCUCCAAAUUCCCAUGGCAUCAUCCCAUAAGUAAAACAAAUGCAACUGAUCUAUGUGUCAGUAUUUCCAAAAAAAAAAAAAAAAAAGAUAACAUGGAAAAAUGUUUAUGGAGAAUCUGCUUCUUAUUCACUAGCAUAUUAUUCACAUUAUGGACUCCCUAUGGAUGCUGGGAGACUCGAGUCUUCUGUUUAUGGAAGACAUUGUGUGGAUCACAACAAAAUCUGGGAUGCUGAGAAGCCUCCUGCAAGAGAUCCACAAGCACACCUUUUCCCAGAAAUGGAAAUUGAGAGAAAGCAUGAAGCUAACAAUAUUGGUACAUAGAAGAAAAAGCCCAGUCAUUGGAAUAGAGUUUAGAAGGAAACACAGACAAAUAAAGAAAAAGAGGUCUACAAAUUUGAAGGGACAAGGCCAAAUUCACAGUCAGGGGGCAUAAUUAGGGUUGAAACAAGUGUCUCCAGAUGGGGCUCUUUUCAACAGCGAGGUGAUUCAGGCCAGUUCCAAUGGUCUUGUGAUGGAGAGAGCCAUCUGCACCCAGAGAGAGAAGUAUGGGGACUGAAUGUGGAUCACAACAUAGGAUUUUCACCUUUUUUGUUGUUGUUUGCUUGUAUUUUGUUUUCCUUCUCAUUUUUCCCCCUUUUUGCCCUGAUUUUUCUUGUGCAGCUUGGGAAUGGUAGAAAUGUGUAUAGAAGAAUUGCACAUGUUUAACAUAUAUUAGAUUACUUGCUGUCUAGGGGAGAGGGGAGAGAAAGGGAGGGAGAAAAAAAUUGGAGCACAACGUUUUGCAAUGGUAAAUGUU
Long non-coding RNA from Antechinus flavipes (yellow-footed antechinus), 1219 nucleotides. RefSeq lists it as uncharacterized. The transcript has 3 exons. Lineage: Eukaryota; Metazoa; Chordata; Mammalia; Dasyuromorphia; Dasyuridae. The record is from RefSeq and is a predicted model, not a curated record.